Long non-coding RNA from Pantherophis guttatus, 225 nucleotides. RefSeq lists it as uncharacterized. The record is from RefSeq and is a predicted model, not a curated record. NCBI's taxonomy places the organism in Eukaryota, Metazoa, Chordata, Lepidosauria, Squamata, Colubridae.
UGUGUUUUUCUAAUCCGUUUUCAUCUCUUUCACCCUGGCAGGCAACCAAAACUACACUUUCCUGAACGUGACCAAUUGUGUGAUGUUUGGAUAUAAAAUCCAUCUUGCUCUCUAUAAAUAUUUAUUUUAAGCAUGGGCAGAGUGCUAUUCAAAUAUGUAGUCCUUCUACAAUGAUUUUCGGAGAAUUCAAGCCAUCCAACUUCAGUCAGGAUUAAUGCAGCGUAA